RNAcentral lists this ribosomal RNA (1403 nucleotides) under Klebsiella sp. RNAcentral's name for it is "bacterial SSU rRNA". It matches the Rfam family "Bacterial small subunit ribosomal RNA". Lineage: Bacteria; Pseudomonadati; Pseudomonadota; Gammaproteobacteria; Enterobacterales; Enterobacteriaceae. The record is from RNAcentral.
UGCAGUCGAGCGGUAGCACAGAGAGCUUGCUCUCGGGUGACGAGCGGCGGACGGGUGAGUAAUGUCUGGGAAACUGCCUGAUGGAGGGGGAUAACUACUGGAAACGGUAGCUAAUACCGCAUAACGUCGCAAGACCAAAGUGGGGGACCUUCGGGCCUCUUGCCAUCAGAUGUGCCCAGAUGGGAUUAGCUAGUAGGUGGGGUAAUGGCUCACCUAGGCGACGAUCCCUAGCUGGUCUGAGAGGAUGACCAGCCACACUGGAACUGAGACACGGUCCAGACUCCUACGGGAGGCAGCAGUGGGGAAUAUUGCACAAUGGGCGCAAGCCUGAUGCAGCCAUGCCGCGUGUAUGAAGAAGGCCUUCGGGUUGUAAAGUACUUUCAGCGAGGAGGAAGGCGUUAAGGUUAAUAACCUUGGUGAUUGACGUUACUCGCAGAAGAAGCACCGGCUAACUCCGUGCCAGCAGCCGCGGUAAUACGGAGGGUGCAAGCGUUAAUCGGAAUUACUGGGCGUAAAGCGCACGCAGGCGGUCUGUCAAGUCGGAUGUGAAAUCCCCGGGCUCAACCUGGGAACUGCAUUCGAAACUGGCAGGCUAGAGUCUUGUAGAGGGGGGUAGAAUUCCAGGUGUAGCGGUGAAAUGCGUAGAGAUCUGGAGGAAUACCGGUGGCGAAGGCGGCCCCCUGGACAAAGACUGACGCUCAGGUGCGAAAGCGUGGGGAGCAAACAGGAUUAGAUACCCUGGUAGUCCACGCCGUAAACGAUGUCGACUUGGAGGUUGUGCCCUUGAGGCGUGGCUUCCGGAGCUAACGCGUUAAGUCGACCGCCUGGGGAGUACGGCCGCAAGGUUAAAACUCAAAUGAAUUGACGGGGGCCCGCACAAGCGGUGGAGCAUGUGGUUUAAUUCGAUGCAACGCGAAGAACCUUACCUACUCUUGACAUCCAGAGAACUUAGCAGAGAUGCUUUGGUGCCUUCGGGAACUCUGAGACAGGUGCUGCAUGGCUGUCGUCAGCUCGUGUUGUGAAAUGUUGGGUUAAGUCCCGCAACGAGCGCAACCCUUAUCCUUUGUUGCCAGCGGUUCGGCCGGGAACUCAAAGGAGACUGCCAGUGAUAAACUGGAGGAAGGUGGGGAUGACGUCAAGUCAUCAUGGCCCUUACGAGUAGGGCUACACACGUGCUACAAUGGCAUAUACAAAGAGAAGCGACCUCGCGAGAGCAAGCGGACCUCAUAAAGUAUGUCGUAGUCCGGAUUGGAGUCUGCAACUCGACUCCAUGAAGUCGGAAUCGCUAGUAAUCGUAGAUCAGAAUGCUACGGUGAAUACGUUCCCGGGCCUUGUACACACCGCCCGUCACACCAUGGGAGUGGGUUGCAAAAGAAGUAGGUAGCUUAACCUUCGGGAGGGCG